GAUGAACGCUGGCGGCGUGCCUAAUACAUGCAAGUCGAGCGAACAGACGAGGAGCUUGCUCCUCUGACGUUAGCGGCGGACGGGUGAGUAACACGUGGAUAACCUACCUAUAAGACUGGGAUAACUUCGGGAAACCGGAGCUAAUACCGGAUAAUAUAUUGAACCGCAUGGUUCAAUAGUGAAAGACGGUUUUGCUGUCACUUAUAGAUGGAUCCGCGCCGCAUUAGCUAGUUGGUAAGGUAACGGCUUACCAAGGCGACGAUGCGUAGCCGACCUGAGAGGGUGAUCGGCCACACUGGAACUGAGACACGGUCCAGACUCCUACGGGAGGCAGCAGUAGGGAAUCUUACGCAAUGGGCGAAAGCCGGACGGAGCAACGCCGCGUGAGUGAUGAAGGUAUUCGGAUCGUAAAACUCUGUUAGUAGGGAAGAACAAAUGUGUAAGUAACUAUGCACGUCUUGACGGUACCUAAUCAGAAAGCCACGGCUAACUACGUG
Molecule: ribosomal RNA, 497 nt
Filed under: uncultured bacterium
Lineage: Bacteria
Description: partial 16S ribosomal RNA
Rfam family: Bacterial small subunit ribosomal RNA
Source: RNAcentral